GUAUUCCUUAGAGCAAAGGAUGCAAUGUCAAGCAAGUUGUGAUACCUCAACUAUCUACAAUUUAACACCAAGGAAAGAACACUGUUUGGAGAAAUGAGAAAGAUUAUCAUCAGUGUCUUUCAGAAGUCAUCAAAAGAAGAAAAGGAGAAAAGAGAGGAGAAAGCAGAAAGAUCUGGAGUCUGGGAAGUUCAAGAGCAUGGCACCAACAUCUGGCAAGGGCUUUCAUUCUGCAUCAUCUCAUGGAGGAAAAUAAAAAGGAGGCUGGAUGCUCCUGUGAAGUACGUCUUUUAUCUACUUGCUAUCUUUGCAAUUCCUUCAUGCUACAAUGAGAGAUAGAGUUUAAACCUGAAAACAUUCUUGGAAAAGGAAUCUUCAUUAAUUCAAAUAUACCACAAGGUUCUGCCACUGUGGCCAUCACCUGGGAUUGGAGAAAGGCAAAUGGAACAGACCAACUCAGAAUUACAGUCCUCAUUUAUUUCAUCAGAGGUUGGCCUGUACUUACAUUAGCCCUUUCUGGCUAGAGCUUCAUGUCUCACCCACUGUCUGUUCACUUCUGACCUGAAACAAUGGGACUGCAGAAGAGAGAAGGAAAAUAUCUGGUGGUCAGGCUAACUCUGUGUACCCCAUGAUGAAGAUGUUUUCCAUAGGAGUUCAUUGUCACAGAUUUCAGGUAAAUCCAGAUUUGGAGCUUAAAUGACUCAAAUGCUUUGCCUACAUUGAUCCUACAUUCAGGCUGCUUACAUAUCUCUUGGCUUCUCUGAGAACCAGAUUGUCACCACUUAAAGUGUCUUCCAGAGUCCUCACGAGUAUCAGAGAAGGCAUAAUCUGUACACGUGGCUUCAUUUAAAAUGAAAAUAUCAAGCAGUGUCAUUUUCACAAGUAUCCCCACACUGUCUGAGGCUGAAAAGAAGAGUGUAGCUAUGCACACUGCAGUGAGAAGAAAAUUUCAGCUCAAUUGGAGGAUGUAAAGAUUGAAAUACCACUGCUCCUAGUUCUGAUGCAAAAUUGAAAAGAGUGCACUGGGUCUUCAAAUGGCAUAUUGACAAGGAGAAAGAGGAAAGGAUGCCCCAGGACAGCCUGGGGGUCAAGGCUGGGCUCAGGCAUGCCUGGACAAGCCAUGCAAGUUGUCUCCGGACUUGAACCACGUAUCAGAGGAGCUAUUUGAGGAGCCACAUCAGCAUACCUGCUUCUGUGGGCCCCCAGGCUGUGGUGCUCAGCCCUUGCACUAUGAAACAUUUUUUUUUUCCAGAAGCCAAAGCUUUGAGCAUCUCCUCCCAUGUAGAGAGUGUAUAUGUUUACGUCCAUGUCUUUCGCCAUGUGAACGCAUGCAACCACCACCUCAAAUAUCAUAAAUCCUCUCUCUCCCCCUUUCUGUCUGCCUGUUUAUCUACAAUCUGUCUAUUUAAAUUCUUUUUAAACAAGAAGGGAAUAUCUUUAUGCCUGUUUGUAGGGAUAUUCUACAUCCAUCUGUUAUUUACAUCAUUCGUUUUCCUGAGGUGUCUCCAACAAAUCCUGGCUGGAUGCACUGUAUGUGUUAUUAAUAAAACAGCUGUAAAAA
Molecule: long non-coding RNA, 1558 nt
Organism: Homo sapiens (human)
Lineage: Eukaryota; Metazoa; Chordata; Mammalia; Primates; Hominidae
Product: long intergenic non-protein coding RNA 1539
Source: Ensembl